RNAcentral lists this microRNA (22 nucleotides) under Triops cancriformis. The record is from RNAcentral. Lineage: Eukaryota; Metazoa; Arthropoda; Branchiopoda; Notostraca; Triopsidae.
UGACUAGAUCCUACACUCGUCC